This 24-nucleotide non-coding RNA is filed under the name Mus musculus (house mouse). The record is from RNAcentral. Lineage: Eukaryota; Metazoa; Chordata; Mammalia; Rodentia; Muridae.
UACACUUAGAGGGCCAAAAUAAGC